UGUGUAGGCGGUUUUCUAAGUUCGGUGUGAAAUCUCCCGGCUUAACUGGGAGGGUGCGCCGAAAACUGGGAGGCUUGAGUAUGGGAGAGGAAGGCGGAAUUCCUGGUGUAGCGGUGAAAUGCGUAGAUAUCAGGAGGAACACCUGCGGUGUAGACAGCUUUCUGGACCAUCACUGACGCUGAGACACGAAAGCGUGGGUAGCAAACAGGAUUAGAUACCCUGGUAGUCCACGCCCUAAACGAUGCAUACUUGGUGUGAGCCGUUCAUUCGGUUCGUGCCGGAGCUAACGCGUUAAGUAUGCCGCCUGGGGAGUACGGUCGCAAGGCUGAA
RNAcentral lists this ribosomal RNA (330 nucleotides) under uncultured bacterium. RNAcentral's name for it is "bacterial SSU rRNA". It matches the Rfam family "Bacterial small subunit ribosomal RNA", at positions 568 to 898 of the family's 1533-position model. The record is from RNAcentral.